This 621-nucleotide ribosomal RNA is filed under the name uncultured archaeon. RNAcentral's name for it is "bacterial SSU rRNA". It matches the Rfam family "Archaeal small subunit ribosomal RNA", at positions 83 to 694 of the family's 1478-position model. The record is from RNAcentral.
CGGCUCAGUAACACGUGGACAAUCUACCUUAUGGAGGGGGAUAACCUCGGGAAACUGAGGACAAUAACCCAUAGAAGUCAAGUACUGGAAUGUCUGACUUCUAAACGAGAAACCUGUAUUCGGUGUAUUGCCAUAAGAUGAGUCUGCGGCGGAUUAGUUUGACGGUAGGGUAACGGCCUACCGUGACUAUGAUCUGUACCGGCCUUGGGAGAGGGAGCCGGGAGAUGGACACUGAGACAAAGGUCCAGGCUCUACGGAGUGCAGCAGUCGCGAAACCUUCGCAAUACGCGAAAGCGUGACGAGGGAACCCCAAGUGUGCAUGUACAGCAUGCACUUUUGCUAAGUUUAGAACACUUGGAGAAUAAGGGCUGGGUAAGACUGGUGCCAGCCUCCGCGGUAACACCAGCAGCUCAAGUGGUGAUCACGUUUACUGGGUUUAAAGGGUGCGUAGUCGGUUUGGCAAGUUUCCUGUGAAAUCCUGGCGCUUAACGUCAGGGAUUGCAGAAAAUACUACCAAGCUAGAGACCGGGGUAGGAGUGAGGUAUUCUAGGGGUAGCGGUGAAAUGCUAUAAUCCCUGGAGGACCACCAGUAGCGAAGGCGUCACUCUGGAACGGGUCUGA